Long non-coding RNA from Canis lupus familiaris (dog), 1062 nucleotides. RefSeq lists it as uncharacterized. The transcript is spliced from 4 exons. The record is from RefSeq and is a predicted model, not a curated record. NCBI's taxonomy places the organism in Eukaryota, Metazoa, Chordata, Mammalia, Carnivora, Canidae.
AGUGAAAAACAAAUCUUCUCCUAUCUACUACUUGAAAGGACCGCACUGCACAACUGGGUCAGCAUGUAGUGUGUAAACCAUCCUUGUUUUAGAAAAUUCUUUCUUUGUAACUGUCUUGUACUCCCCUCCCACUCAUAAAUGCAAAUAGCUCUUCUUGUUGGAGUAGACCGCAUAGAAAAAAAGAGAAACACCUUUUGAGAGAUUCCAUUUUAAGUCAACCAGGAGGCCCGAUCAGAGAAAGUAGUUACAGAAUUGAAACAAAUAAUGCCAACUGCAUUGAUCACAUGGGAGCAGGGUGACAGAAGAAGCCCACCUUGGCUCAGUGAGGCUGACAGCCUAACUCCUCUGUGAGCUGCUUUCCACAUGGAUAUGAGCGAGGGGCAAUGUGGCCUGCUGCUUGGGGCCAUCUGGGUUGGAACCCCAGCACGUACUCCCCAGCCCUCCAACUUUGGAUGAGUCACAAACCUCUCAACCUUGGUCUCCUGCUGUGUCUAAGACCCAGCCCUCCUCUGUGUAAGGCUCACUCCUAGGCCACGUGGAUACAGCAGAACCAGGGCCAACCAAGUUCCACUCUCAAGGCGUUUACACUGUGGUGGGAAAGUCAGGAUAUGAAGAACAGGAGUCCUGUACAGAUUUGAAGACCAAAAUGGAGAAAACAGAAAUGAUUGAUGAAGCAGGAGUGAAAUGGACACGUUAUAUGCAAAACAAGGGGGGCACUGGCUGUGGAGUAAUGGGCCCUUUGUGCUGAAACGUGGUCGUGUUGCAGACCAUAAGCACCUUUGAGUUCAUGGUGUUGGAAAGAAAGUGACAGGUAAUCAUGUGAAUGAAUGAGUGAGUGAAUAAAGAAUUAUGUGCUGGGCUUGCCUUAACCAUUGCCAGGAAACAGGGGUGCCACCUUCCUGGAAGACUGGAUGAGCCAGACUUCAUGCAGAACUAUCUUGGGGAUCCCUGGGUGGCUCAGCAGUUUGGAGCCUGCCUUCGGCCCAGGGCAUGGUCCUGGGGUUCCCGGGAUUGAAUCCCAUGUCGGGCUCCCUGCAUGGAGCCUGCUUCUCCCUCUGCCUG